ACCUUCCUUGUCUUAGGGGAGCAUAAUGUCCAAUGAUCGUCUAGUGAGGACAUUGAUGCUGACACCCAUUUAAAUACACAACCCCUGCCCGUACCUUGUAAAACAGGUGCGAGUGGAAUUUUUGGAAGG
RNAcentral lists this non-coding RNA (129 nucleotides) under Lutzomyia longipalpis. RNAcentral describes it as "U4atac minor spliceosomal RNA". It matches the Rfam family "U4atac minor spliceosomal RNA". Rfam says of the family: U4atac is an essential component of the minor U12-type spliceosome complex which is required for removal of the rarer class of eukaryotic introns (AT-AC, U12-type). These interacting stem loops have been shown to be required for in vivo splicing. The record is from RNAcentral. Lineage: Eukaryota; Metazoa; Arthropoda; Insecta; Diptera; Psychodidae.